UACGUAGGGGGCAAGCGUUGUCCGGAUUUAUUGGGCGUAAAGAGCUCGUAGGCGGUCUGUCGCGUCCGCUGUGAAAACCCGCAGCUCAACUGUGGGCUUGCAGCUGAUACGGGCAGGCUUGAGUUCGGUAGGGGAGACUGGAAUUCCUGGUGUAGCGGUGAAAUGCGCAGAUAUCAGGAGGAACACCGGUGGCGAAGGCGGGUCUCUGGGCCGAUACUGACGCUGAGGAGCGAAAGCGUGGGGAGCGAACAGG
This 253-nucleotide ribosomal RNA is filed under the name uncultured bacterium. RNAcentral describes it as "partial 16S ribosomal RNA". It matches the Rfam family "Bacterial small subunit ribosomal RNA", at positions 524 to 776 of the family's 1533-position model. The record is from RNAcentral.